This 795-nucleotide ribosomal RNA is filed under the name uncultured bacterium. Its description in RNAcentral is "bacterial SSU rRNA". It matches the Rfam family "Bacterial small subunit ribosomal RNA", at positions 8 to 796 of the family's 1533-position model. The record is from RNAcentral.
AGAGUUUGAUCCUGGCUCAGAUUGAACGCUGGCGGCAUGCUUUACACAUGCAGGUCGAACGGCAGCAUAGGUGCUUGCACCUGAUGGCGAGUGGCGGACGGGUGAGUAAUGCAUCGGGACGUGUCCGGAAGAGGGGGAUAACUGUUCGAAAGAACAGCUAAUACCGCAUAAUAUCCGAGGAAGAAAGCUGGGGACCUUAGGGCCUGGCGCUUACGGGGCGACCGAUGUCUGAUUAGCUAGUUGGUGGGGUAAAAGCCUACCAAGGCGACGAUCAGUAGCUGGUCUGAGAGGACGACCAGCCACACUGGGACUGAGAAACGGCCCAGACUCCUACGGGAGGCAGCAGUGGGGAAUUUUGGACAAUGGGGGCAACCCUGAUCCAGCAAUGCCGCGUGUCUGAAGAAGGCCUUCGGGUUGUAAAGGACUUUUGUUGGGGAGCAAGGUGCACAGGUUAAGAGCUAGUGUACUUGAGAGUACCCAAAGAAUAAGGACCGGCUAACUACCUGCCAGCAGCCGCGGUAAUACGUAGGGUCCAAGCGUUAAUCGGAAUUACUGGGCGUAAAGAGUGCGCAGGCGGCUUUGUAAGCUUGAUGUGAAAUCCCCGGGCUCAACCUGGGAACUGCAUUGAGGACUGCAAGGCUAGAGUGUAGCAGAGGGGGGUAGAAUUCCACGUGUAGCAGUGAAAUGCGUAGAGAUGUGGAGGAAUACCGAUGGCGAAGGCAGCCCCCUGGGUUAACACUGACGCUCAUGCACGAAAGCGUGGGGAGCAAACAGGAUUAGAUACCCUGGUAGUCC